GCAGACGUCCAGCUCCUAAGCGAGAACUCAGCGAUUGCUGUGACCGUUCUCACCGGGUGUGGGACCAGAACUCACUGCAGUAGACACGCCCAGGUUUGUCAAAAGUGCUUUCAAAAGGGGGAGGGGGUGCGUAAACAAUCUCUUUCCCUAUCUCCUCCCCCAAGGAGACCACAUGUUUGUUUCUUAGCGGGGGGGGGGGGGGGGGAGUCCUCUUCUCCCUAAACUCAGUCACUCAUUUUGAGUGAUUUUCCUGCCCUCCUCAUACCCACUGACUCUGUAACAAGGAGAUGCUCUGAAUUUCCCCAGUUCCCCGGCCACCCUCUCAGCAGCCCUGUGAGUGGCCACCACGCACCAGAUAGCUGCAAGCUAAUCCUCAUCCGCACUCCAGAGGUCCUUUCCAGGAAGCUCCUAAAUAGAAGACCAGAAGUACCUUCCUACCCAGCCCUGCCCUCCGGGCUCCCACGUGCUGUCUCCACCCCGCCCCCCUCGACCUCUCCCCAUCCCACCCUUCAGAACUCUACUGGGAUCUAAAUCUGAUUUCCACUGUGGAAUGAAAAGGAAGAUGAAGAGCCCUUUACAAAUGUCUUUCUUAAUCCCGAAAUGCCUCUGGAAGAAAGUCUGAGCAGACCAACAUUGUUUUUAAUAAUUCCUUUAUAUCCACAAGGGCAGAAAGCUACUCUCUUGAGGAAAGCUUUCAGAAUCCCAUCCAUGGGUUCUAUUUACAGUUCACUCUCCUGACAAGCUGAGUCAUCUUGGGUAAAUCACCAGACCUUUCUGAUUCCAUUUUUCAUCAGUAAAAUAGGGUUAAUGAAGUAAACUUUGUGGUUGCGUGAGACUGUGCCAGUAAUUCAGCUUAUCAUGCUGCUAAUAAAUAUCACUUCUCCUUUGUAUUUCUCUCUUUCCCGCUCACUUCACUCAAACUCAUCUUUCUCUAAGGAAAAUAACUAAGAAGGGCAUCACUAACCAUUCUAGGACUAUUAAAAAUAGAUCCUCCCAGUGGGAGGUACUUGCUACUUUGACCAUCCCGUGUGUUUGACACGGUCUUCAGGGACAAUUACAUUAGCCCAGAUCAAACUGCUUAUGCUCAUCUGCAUUUGGGUUGUUUGGAGUUUAUAAGUUAUGUCAUUUCUUAUCAAUCACAAAAAUACACAUAACAGAGCUCCCCCAAAAGACUAAGAAAGAGGCAGCCUUAUUCAUUUGUCUGGUCAGUUUCAGCCUCUUGGUUCUCCCAUGCUUAACCUCUCAACAUCACACUGGGUCAUAUUUCACCUCUUCCCCAGGGCCUUCCAGACCACAAUGCCCCCCAGACUCCUGAAGCUCUUUGAAGCCUACUGGAUUUCUCAGAGAAGUUUUUGUUCCAAUAAGGUGAAGAGUGAGGACGUGCAACUCGAAGAAGUAGCUGUAUCCUGAGAGAUCCUCAUGGGCACAGAGCUUACUAGAGCUUAUCACUGGAGUAAGAUCAGACUCCAAGAGUACUGAGGGGAUCAGAGAGUGAACUUUCAAUCGCAGCCUCCAUACGGUGUUUGCUCUGUGUAUCAUGUACCCUGAACUACACAGACAUCACUUCCUGUGAAUAAUAUACGGCAUUAUAUCGAAUGUGGGUAAUAUAUUCUGUAAAUGAACUUAAUUUGAAGAAUUGCGUAAAUUUAAUACAAAUCAAAGCCUAACGCUGGGCACGUUGUGGGAGGGUCAAUAAAUACUUGUUAUAUGACAUGC
Molecule: non-coding RNA, 1716 nt
Organism: Equus caballus (horse)
Lineage: Eukaryota; Metazoa; Chordata; Mammalia; Perissodactyla; Equidae
Source: RefSeq, a predicted model, not a curated record